RNAcentral lists this ribosomal RNA (255 nucleotides) under uncultured bacterium. Its description in RNAcentral is "partial 16S ribosomal RNA". It matches the Rfam family "Bacterial small subunit ribosomal RNA", at positions 57 to 305 of the family's 1533-position model. The record is from RNAcentral.
GCAAGUCGAACGAAGCAAUAGUGCUUGCACUAUUGACUGAGUGGCGGACGGGUGAGUAACACGUGAGCAACCUGCCUAUUACUGGGGGACAACACUUGGAAACGAGUGCUAAUACCGCAUAUGACCACAAUCCGGCAUCGGAAAGGGGUGAAAAGAGUUAAAUCUGGUAAUAGAGGGGCUUGCGCAUCAUUAGCUAGUUGGUAUGGGUAAUGGCCUACCAAGGCAACGAUGAUUAGCCGAUCUGAGAGGAUGACC